RNAcentral lists this ribosomal RNA (433 nucleotides) under uncultured bacterium. RNAcentral describes it as "partial 16S ribosomal RNA". It matches the Rfam family "Bacterial small subunit ribosomal RNA", at positions 29 to 507 of the family's 1533-position model. The record is from RNAcentral.
AACGAACGCUGGCGGCAUGCCUAACACAUGCAAGUCGAACGAGACCUUCGGGUCUAGUGGCGCACGGGUGCGUAACGCGUGGGAACCUGCCUUUAGGUUCGGAAUAACUCAGAGAAAUUUGAGCUAAUACCGGAUGAUGUCUUCGGACCAAAGAUUUAUCGCCUUUAGAUGGGCCCGCGUUGGAUUAGCUAGUUGGUGGGGUAAAGGCCUACCAAGGAGACGAUCCAUAGCUGGUCUGAGAGGAUGAUCAGCCACACUGGGACUGAGACACGGCCCAGACUCCUACGGGAGGCAGCAGUGGGGAAUAUUGGACAAUGGGCGAAAGCCUGAUCCAGCAAUGCCGCGUGAGUGAUGAAGGCCUUAGGGUUGUAAAGCUCUUUUACCCGAGAUGAUAAUGACAGUAUCGGGAGAAUAAGCUCCGGCUAACUCCGUG